This 488-nucleotide ribosomal RNA is filed under the name uncultured bacterium. Its description in RNAcentral is "bacterial SSU rRNA". It matches the Rfam family "Bacterial small subunit ribosomal RNA", at positions 32 to 525 of the family's 1533-position model. The record is from RNAcentral.
AACGCUGGCGGCAGGCCUAACACAUGCAAGUCGAGCGGGGGUAGCAAUACCCUAGCGGCGAACGGGUGAGGAAUGCUUGGGAAUCUGCCUCGUAGUGGGGGAUAACGUUCCGAAAGGAACGCUAAUACCGCAUACGUCCUACGGGAGAAAGGGGGGGAUCUUCGGACCUCUCGCUAUGAGAUGAGCCCAAGCGGGAUUAGCUAGUUGGUGAGGUAAUGGCUCACCAAGGCGACGAUCCCUAGCUGGUCUGAGAGGAUGAUCAGCCACACUGGAACUGAGACACGGUCCAGACUCCUACGGGAGGCAGCAGUGGGGAAUAUUGGACAAUGGGCGAAAGCCUGAUCCAGCCAUGCCGCGUGUGUGAAGAAGGCCUUCGGGUUGUAAAGCACUUUAAGCGAGGAGGAAGGUUCGUUACUUAAUACGUAACGGAAUUGACGUUACUCGCAGAAUAAGCACCGGCUAACUCUGUGCCAGCAGCCGCGGUAAUA